GAUAUCAAAAGUGUAUCAACUUUAACAUAUAAAUAGGAGGAAAUAGAUAGCAGAAAAUUCCUCAUCCUCAUGAGUUCAUAUCCUCAAUAAACUUUGCUGUUUUUACAAGUUAAUAUAACAACAAUUGAAUAGGAGAGUGAAGUCAUAAAUCCGUAGGACAAAAUGGAGAACCAAGUAGAUGGUUCAUUAGGAGGCACGUAUAAGCCAUUCUUUGCUGCAGUUUUCUUGCAAGUUGAGUUUGCAGUCAUGAAUAUCUUAUCUACGACUGCAUUAAACCUGGGGAUGAGCCAGUUACGUACUGGUUGUUUACCGCCAUGCAAUUGCCACCCUUGUUAUGGCUCCUUUCGCUGCUUUUCUUGACAAGAAAAUGAGGCCUAAGAUGACCAUCUUCAUCCAAAUAAUGGUGCCAUAAUUCGAAUAUUGUUUUAUUUUUGAACACAAUAUCUGAAAAUUGCAUGGUUGCAGGGUAUUGUAUGUUCACGACUUGCUUAUUACAUUCAAGGGAUGAUAAUGAAACACAGAGGUCCAGUAUUUGUGACAGCUUUUAGUCCCCUAUGCAUGAUUAUUGUAGCCAUUAUGUCCUCUUUCAUUCUGGCUGAACACAGAGGAGUAGAUUGUUUGGAUGAAGAUUCUCAUGGUCAUCUUAGGCCUCAUUUUCCUGUCAAACAAAAAACAGGAGUAGAUAGCUAAAAAGGUAAAAUGGGCAUGAAUGGACUUUAAGAGAGGAAGAAGAAGAAGAAUAUACUUGUCAAGAAAAGCAGCGAAAGGAGCCAUAACAAGGGUGGCAAUGGCAUGGCAGUAAACAACCAGUACGUAAAUUGCUCAUCCCCAGGAUUAAUGCAGUCUUAGAUAAGAUAUCCAUGACUGCAAACCCAACUUGCAAGAAAACUGCAGCAAAGAAUGGCUUACACCUGCCUCCUAAUGAACCAUCUACUUGGUUCUCCAGUUUUAUCUUAUCGAUUUAUGACUCUACUCUCCAAUUCAGUUGUUAUAAUAUUAACUUGUAAAAUAAGCCAAGUUUGUCGAGGAGAUGAACUCACGAGGAUGAGGAAUUUUAUGCUAUCUAUUUCUUCCUAAUAUGCUAAAGUUAAUGCACUUUUGAUAUCUUGAUUGGGUAAGAACUUUUAGAGACUAAUUAAUAUAAAUUUCUAAUGAAAUUAGGAUUGAUUGUCCUUGUACUAUUGAAUAUCUUGACCAUUGAUUAAAAUUUAUA
This is a long non-coding RNA of Gossypium arboreum, 1213 nucleotides long. RefSeq lists it as uncharacterized. NCBI's taxonomy places the organism in Eukaryota, Viridiplantae, Streptophyta, Magnoliopsida, Malvales, Malvaceae. The record is from RefSeq and is a predicted model, not a curated record. The transcript has 2 exons.